Non-coding RNA from Sus scrofa (pig), 4636 nucleotides. The record is from RefSeq and is a predicted model, not a curated record. NCBI's taxonomy places the organism in Eukaryota, Metazoa, Chordata, Mammalia, Artiodactyla, Suidae.
ACAGCUGGGCCUUUCUGCUCCAAAAGGCAGAGUCAUUGCAGCCAGCCCCACGGCAGCUGCAGGCACCCCUCCCCCAGGAUGCUGCACAUGUGGCUGGGUUCCCAUAGCAACCUCUGUGGGGACCUGCUCUCCCUACUUCACCACAGCUCCUCCUGGACUUGUGUGAGAGGUUAGGAAGAGGAGGGGCCAGGAAAGUGAUAGCAUUUCCACAUGCAGACACUUUGAGUCUUUUAAGCCUCUCAAUAACCCCAAGAGGAACAUGCUAUUAUUGUCCUCAUUUUAGUGACAAGGAAGUUGAGGUCCAAGUUCACCCCACCAACCAAAACAAGAGAACUGGUCUGCAGAAUGUAUCAUAUAUCAUUCAGCAUGGGUCAGCACCAGUCAAGAUUGCAGCUGCAGAAACUUGUAAACAGGAAAAAAUGUACUAAGGGACUGUGGUGCGGCACCAGAAAGAAAAGAAAAGUGAGACACGCCAUAGGAAAGAGCAAUAAGCAGGGCAACUUCAAGGGACCGGAAUGAACAAGCAAUCAUUUCAUCAGAAUAAAUAAACUUUGGGAGUUUCUUGGUGGCUCAGUGGCAUAGGGAUCCAGCGAUGUCACUGCUGUGAUGCGGGUUUGAUCCCUAGCCUGAGAAUUUCCACAUGCUGCAGGUGUAGAAAAAAAAGAAUGAAAAGACUUCUGUUUUUAAAUCUUUUUUUGUCUCUCCAUUUAAGACUUAGGUUCUAAAGGGCCUGGGUCUAGCGCCACCUGUUGGCUGGGAGGGGCAGAGGCUGUGAUUGACAGGCCUAUGAGGCUUAUAUGCCUGUGGUGAGUGCAGGGGGAGUGGGUAGGGAGAGUCCCCCCAAAAAACUUGGGAUGCUGUUUCCAGAAGAAGGGGGAAUAAAAGCCAGGGAGGUCAAAACCCAAAUUCACCUGACUGUCAUGAUGGGGCACAAGGUGUUAUCCACCCUGUUAACUGAAUUUACACACACACACACACACACACACACACACACACACACUUUAGUCCUGGUUGGUAGAAAGAGCCCUAAUAACCUUCUAAUAUUCUACAUGAUUUCCUUAUGAUGUUUUUAUGUUUGUUGUUUACCACCUGCCUCUCCUGUUCCCUCUAGAAUGUAAGACCCAGGAGGGCAGCAAAUUGCUCCUGUUUGUUCACUGCAGCAUCCUGAGUGCCUGGCACAUGGUAGGUGCUCAAAAAUGCCGAAUGAGUGCAGAAGUACCAAGCACUCUAAUUGCUCUUGGGGUGCAGUGGUGAACUGACAGCAGGAUUUCUGACCCCACAGAGCUUUCAUCUAGUAAGACAGUAAUAGCCACACAAAUAUAUAACCAAAGGACAAAACUAAAAAAAUGAAAAAUCCUGCUCUAUGCUUUGACAGAAACAAGUGCUUAAAAAAAGAAGGUUGGAAAUUACUGAAGAUAUGGCAGUCACAGAAGGACAGAAAGCCCCUCUCAAGCACGGUUUAAACAAAGGCCUGAAGGUGAAAGGGGGCUGACCGUGAAAAGCAUGAAGGCAGAUUCUUCCAAGCAGAAGAAAGAGUGUGUGCAAAGGUCCUGAGUAGGCAAGAGUUUGGUACGUUUGGGGAACUGGCAUGAGAAGAGCAGCAUGACUGGACCUUAGUAAGCAAGGGCUCGGGGGGUCCAGUUUGAUGAUGGGGUAUGUGCCAGGCACACAGAAGACAGGACAUGGAGUUUAGAUUGCAUUCUGGGUAAUCAGUGCUUGGCCCCAUCUAUGAUUCGAGCUGAUUACUCUGGCUGCAGGUGAAGAACACACUAAAUCGGGAAGCAGGGGAUGCUCCAGGAGGCGAUGCAGUGGUCCAGACUGGGGCUGAACACAGGUGGCCAAAGCCAGAGGAUGAGGGGGACACCUUCAGGCCACCACUUGGUUAAAAAUCAGGUACUAUAGUCAGGAUCGAUGUCACCUUCUGGAGCCCAUGAAGGUACCCCCACCCCAGGUCACCCCUAGUCUGUAGGUGAUAGAUGGUUCCACGGACAAUCCGGCUGCACCCCGUGCCUAAGUGACAGGUGACGGAUGGGGUUGGAACUGAGCGUUCUGAGCCAUGUGGCCAGCAUGCAUCUCUGAGGAGGACUUUGGAGCCAGGAGUUAAUUUAAGGAAAGGAGUGGGGGAGCUCAAAAGCACUUCCUCCACUGCUCAAUUAGUGAAGAGGGCUGUAGGGAGCUGGAGUUUUCAAGAUCCCCUUAAUCAUCUGCCUGCCUGGCGGUGUGCAGAGUGUGGUGGGUAUAAUCGCACCUACCCAUUAACACAUGCAAUUAAGGCUCUGAGGCCUCCAGCACCCCCCCUCCAAUUAAACGACAGAUGAGGGGCCCAUGCGGGUGGCCUCUGAGAUGAAUCACUUGAAGCUGAAAACUUGGAGGCUGGAAGUCUGGACAGAGAGGUGAUUAAAGUUGAUAAAAUCAUGAUGGGAAAGGAGAGGUUCUUGCCCACUCCCAGUCUGCUCCAGGUUCGGGCCCUCCCUGCAGUUGGAUAGAUAGACUUUAAGACAAAUUAGAAGUUCAGCUUCACCUAUAGGAGAAUCAAUAUUUAGAACCCACCAACCACCACCACCUGUAGCAGGCUGCUUCCUUUUUGCUAAAGACACACCUGCACAGUGUCUCGGAUCAGGCGAAUUCCUGGAUAAUUAAUUUUGUGAGAAAGGAGGCUGUCUGGUGGAUUGGCGCGGGGCAUUCUGCUAUCCUGCGAAGGGAUGGGGUGGAGAGAGGGAACUUCCUUUCCCGGGCAUCUCCCAUAUGCCAGACCUUGUGCUCCCUUCCUGCCCUGUAGGCCAUCUCCUUUCAUUUUAUCCAAAUCCUCCCUCCUUUCCUCGGAGAAAGACCAUGUUUUCUUUGCUACAGAGGAUGGAACAGAAGCUUGGGGAGUUCAAGUGCUUUGUCCAAGAUCAUAGGACUGGACACAUAGAUGGUGGAACUGGGAUUUGAACCCUGGCCUGACUUCCAAGUCUCUGUUCCCUCUGCUCUGCGAGGCCCCUUUGAAAUCGUGGUUGCCAAGAUCUUGUCCCUGUGUCCCUGAUGCCCCAUGGGGUGGACUCAGGAGGACAUUCCAGAUGUUAUUCCCUACUCCCCUCCUCCCUCCUCCCCUCAGUGAAUCUCUGAGCCUCUGUGGUUCCUGAUGCGGCCUGAGGAAGGACUUGACAGGUGGUGAGUCCUGAGGUGCUGAGCACCACGCUCAUCUCAAGCAGGAAAAAAAAAGAAAAGAAAAUGGAAAAAGAAACUCCCCUACCUGAACCGCCUCUCCUUCUCUGUGUGUCUCACCAAUUACACCUGCAACGAGUCAUUCAUUAUCCAUUUGCUGAUGGCCAUUUUCAUUUAGCAUCUCUACCGAAGCUCUGGGCGGGAGGUCGUAAUUGAAAAGCUCCACAUUUGAGUUUGCACAGGGGCAGCUCUGCUCCAUUUGACUGUCCUGAGGUGCAGGUACCCCCUGCAGGGGACCAAAUCCAGUCCAUGUCUGCCCAGGGACCCAGCCAUCCCAGGCGAGUGCUGCCUUAGCUCUGCUUCUGCUCAGGGGAGCUCAGAUGCUGGUUCUAGAGAGCGACCAAAGUCACGAGGUUGAAAUCGUCACUAGGUUGUGUCAACAGAGAAGCCACUUGCCAAUCACCCUUCCUCUGAGACCUUCCUGAAUGAACACAAGACACCUGCUGCUUUCUGUAGCCUCGAGUCUUCUUGAGUUUAGGACUCUCCCAGGUCUGCCUCAUUCAUUUCUGAUCCAGAGAAGCGCUGAUAAGGUGCUCUUCAGAAAGGAGCAGGGCGACCAGCUGCAGCUUGGCCCAGGUGAGCAGUCCGCUGCGGGCUUCAGCAGCAACCAGGCAUGCGCUGAGCUGCCAGAGGGCGGCCUCCUGCAGCCCCCGCCACCCCAGGACAUUGCUGCGCGCUUAGCCUGGCAACACAGCCUUCUCUCCAAUGCUCCCUUAACCUUCUCAAACAUUUACCACGUGUCCACCAUGAGUCUGGCUGAGUUUCAGGGGCUGAGGACCAAGGGAUAAAUAAGCCAGUUACUUGUUCAGUUGGAGAGACGCUCAGAUGCCACGUGGCCACUCAGAACCUUCCAAAAGCAGCGGCAGAAUCAAGAGACUUUGAAAGCAGUUUCCCAGGAAUUCAAGUGCCAUGCUGCCCCAACCUGUGUGUAGUGAGAGGUGGAAAGAGAUGACCCCAUCAGCAGUGACUGGCACUGCCCUGAGGGCUCAUGCAUCUGUGAGAACCCAUUGUGAUUGAAGAAAGUAGCUGACCUGGGCUAUAAUCCCACUUCCUGCCCCAGAGGGGCGUGGAAUAAGGGAAUUAGCUGGUGUGUGUUCUGGAGUAGGGUAGACAUGAGAGCAGUCUCUAAUGCCUUUUGUGGCACCUUAACACUCUUACUUGAAGUGGCUAGACUUGGAGAUAAAUAAAUGUGGAAUUAAAGCCUUUGUGCAACAUGCUUUAUUAAACUGCGAAGUGACACAGGAAAGCUACAGGUGUAAAAACCAGCUACUGCACACAGACACAUUUAUGGUCAAGGACAGCCGGGAGUCAAAGGUGACCUGCCACCGUGAUUGGUGUCAGCAAGGACAGAGACUGCAUUUAAGAAAAGCAUUUGGCUGAAUCUCCUGGCUGAGUGCUCCUAUGGGGCUUGGGUAACUCUGAUGAAUAU